RNAcentral lists this transfer RNA (72 nucleotides) under Bos taurus (domestic cattle). It matches the Rfam family "tRNA". Rfam says of the family: Transfer RNA (tRNA) molecules are approximately 80 nucleotides in length. Their secondary structure includes four short double-helical elements and three loops (D, anti-codon, and T loops). The record is from Rfam by way of RNAcentral. RNAcentral also lists the same sequence under 5 other names. Lineage: Eukaryota; Metazoa; Chordata; Mammalia; Artiodactyla; Bovidae.
CCCCUGAUGGUCCAGUGGUUAGGACGUGACGCUCCCAAUGCUGGGGCAUGGGUUCGAUCCCUGGUCAGGGAA